RNA transcript from Pan troglodytes (chimpanzee), 2192 nucleotides. RefSeq lists it as uncharacterized. NCBI's taxonomy places the organism in Eukaryota, Metazoa, Chordata, Mammalia, Primates, Hominidae. The transcript has 3 exons. The record is from RefSeq and is a predicted model, not a curated record.
AGAGGGUGAUGCCUGAGAAGGGACAGCAGCCCAGCCCCAUUCAGGGACACGUGGCCCUGAUUUGAGCUCCUGUGACAUCACGCUCCCUCCAGUUAUCUUACAUGUCACAUCUCAAACAUUUAACAUCUUACAUCUCAAACAUUUCUUGAGGCCCUUACCCUCCCGUUCCCCCAAAUCAAUACGGCACUUAGGGGACACCAAGGCACAGAGACACUUGCCCCAAAUCACGCAGUAAUGCCCUGGUGCCACCGUGAACAGUGCUGGAGCUUCCUGACCCCUUGUCCAGGGGACCUGGCUGCCUUUUAUAGAAAGUUUCCACACACCUUCUAUUCCUAACCUCGAUCACAAGCAUCGCCGGCCCAGAUGCUCUGUGUCACCGGCUUAGUAACAUACCCCAUUUAGGAGCAUGAGCACAACUUGUUUGCAGUGGGAAUGAAUUAACUGAAUUCUAGAUAUUGUUUUUUGGCUGCCUUUUUUUGUUUGUUUUUAUUUCAAACACAGCUAACUAAUCAGGGCUGUGGACAUCGAGAAUGCCAACUUUGAUUCUUCAAGGAAAAUCAGCAGCUGACCACACACUACCCUUCCUGGUCCUCCCCAAGAUGCCAAGAACAUCCAAAGUCUGCAGUUUUGAGGAAACUGAAGCUGAUCUGACACCACUUCCUUUUUCUCCAGAUGUUACCCUUCGGAUGCAUACCUCGAUCUGCCUGAAAAUCAUGGAAUUCUGGAGAUGGAAGGGACCUCAGAGAUUUUCUGGUUCUCUCUGUUCUGGUUGCAUGGCUCGGGGAAGAUAGAAAGGCCUCAGAGGAGUGAAAAUGGAAUCAAACAGAAGAGACAGGAGGCCGACAUGGAACUGAGCAAGUUCUGGCUACUUCUGUUGCUUUUUGAGUCAGGGGAAUGUGACGUAUGGACUCUUCCCCUAUAAACUCAUACCUCAAGAUUCUUCUGUACACACAGCAGACUCCCCACAAUCCCAAACAUUAAAGGCCACAACCCCAAACAUUGUGGGAUAAGAACAGGGCUGCUUCUUCAUCCGGAGAUUCCUGAGUCACACACUAAUGAAAUACCUACCUCAGGCACAUGUUCAUAAUAUUCAUCCUUAACACUCUGUAAGGCCAGUCCUAGACCCAGGUACUGCAUGUUAUGACAGCAUAAUUAUUUUGUGGUCUGUCUUCAAUGGCUCUGCAUUUCCUCCUAAAGUGGGAUAUUGCGGCAGUCAUAAAUCUUUCCAUCCUCCAGAGCAGUGGUCUGUCACAGCUUACUUAAACCGCUUAUCUUUUGGGAGCAUUCCAACUCUUCCUUUGCUUGAACUUAAGCCCUGCUAAACUCAUCUCCCUGCAUAUUUUUCAUUCGGGGCUCCAUCAAAAAACUAAUUAAAAUAAAAAAGUUUUCUAAAAGGCAGGGCGUGGUGGCUCACACCUGUAAUCCCAGUACUUUAGGAGGCCAAAGUGGGAGGAUCACUUAAACCCAGGAGUUUGAGACCAGCCUGGGUAACAUAGGGAGAUCCCAUCUCUAUAGAAAAUUUUUAAAAAUUAGCUGGGCAUAGUAGUGCGUGCCUGUAGUCCCAGUUACUCAGGAGGCCAAGGUGGUAGAAUUGCUUGAGUCAGGGAGUUCAAGGCUGCUAUGAGCCAUGAUCACGCCACUAUACUCCAGCCUGGGUAACAGAGCGAGUCCCCAUAACCAAAAAGAAAAAUAAAUAAAGUAAAAUAAUCAGUGUCUCAUGAGCAUAAUGAUCAAUACACACACACACAAUCACAUUUACCUACUUAAUCUCUGCUUUCAUGUCUGAUUUAUUAGUAUCUAUCAUCUGUGGAGUACUUUUUUCAGAAGUGGGCAAAAUCUCUUUCUAAACAUUAUCACAUCUCAAAUGCAAGACAAGUGGGACUGUGGUGAGGAAACUGAGGCUCAUCGUGUUGAAGUGACACAUGGUUGGGGGGUUGGGGGGCUGGGGGGGGGGUCUUUCUGCAGCCUUACUCCUGGUUCCCAGCCCAACAGCUGGUCCCCCAUCGGCUCACUGCUGAGGUUAAGCUGAUGCUUGCUGGAAGAAAGGUCUGCACAGCGAAGCCUUACAGUUUCACUUAUGUUCUUGGUUCUCUUACAAAGGAAUCUAAACCUUGACGGACAUUAGAAAUUUAAUAAUAGUUUAAGAACAAAUCCCAGCAUGUCUCCAAAGCAAUACAGAAUCAAAUUCUGAA